UGGGAACCUUCCCUAUGGUUCGGAAUAGCUCAGGGAAACUUGGGGUAAUACCGGAUAAGCCCUUACGGGGAAAGAUUUAUCGCCAUUGGAUGGGCCCGCGUCGGAUUAGCUAGUUGGUGAGGUAACGGCUCACCAAGGCGACGAUCCGUAGCUGGUCUGAGAGGAUGAUCAGCCACACUGGGACUGAGACACGGCCCAGACUCCUACGGGAGGCAG
Molecule: ribosomal RNA, 216 nt
Filed under: uncultured bacterium
Lineage: Bacteria
Description: partial 16S ribosomal RNA
Rfam family: Bacterial small subunit ribosomal RNA
Source: RNAcentral